RNAcentral lists this transfer RNA (70 nucleotides) under Neotoma lepida (desert woodrat). It matches the Rfam family "tRNA". From Rfam's summary of the family: Transfer RNA (tRNA) molecules are approximately 80 nucleotides in length. Their secondary structure includes four short double-helical elements and three loops (D, anti-codon, and T loops). The record is from Rfam by way of RNAcentral. Lineage: Eukaryota; Metazoa; Chordata; Mammalia; Rodentia; Cricetidae.
GGAGAUGUAGCUCAGUCGGUAGAGUGCUUGCCUGGCAUGCAUGAGAUCACAGGUUCGAUCCUUAGCACUG